RNAcentral lists this ribosomal RNA (429 nucleotides) under uncultured Acidithiobacillus sp. RNAcentral describes it as "bacterial SSU rRNA". It matches the Rfam family "Bacterial small subunit ribosomal RNA", at positions 355 to 776 of the family's 1533-position model. Lineage: Bacteria; Pseudomonadati; Pseudomonadota; Acidithiobacillia; Acidithiobacillales; Acidithiobacillaceae. The record is from RNAcentral.
UGGGGAAUUUUUCGCAAUGGGGGCAACCCUGACGAAGCAAUGCCGCGUGGAUGAAGAAGGCCUUCGGGUUGUAAAGUCCUUUCGUGGGGGACGAAAAGGUGGUUCCUAAUACGAGCUGCUGUUGACGUGAACCCAAGAAGAAGCACCGGCUAACUCCGUGCCAGCAGCCGCGGUAAUACGGGGGGUGCAAGCGUUAAUCGGAAUCACUGGGCGUAAAGGGUGCGUAGGCGGUACGUUAGGUCUGUCGUGAAAUCCCCGGGCUCAACCUGGGAAUGGCGGUAGAAACCGGCGAACUAGAGUAUGGGAGAGGGUGGUGGAAUUCCAGGUGUAGCGGUGAAAUGCGUAGAGAUCUGGAGGAACAUCAGUGGCGAAGGCGGCCACCUGGCCCAAUACUGACGCUGAGGCACGAAAGCGUGGGGAGCAAACAGG